UACGCAGGAUGCAAGCGUUAUCCGGAAUGAUUGGGCGUAAAGCGUCCGCAGGUGGCUGUGUAAGUCUGCUGUUAAAGAGUGAGGCUCAACCUCAUAAAAGCAGUGGAAACUACACGGCUAGAGUGCGUUCGGGGCAGAGGGAAUUCCUGGUGUAGCGGUGAAAUGCGUAGAUAUCAGGAAGAACACCGGUGGCGAAAGCGCUCUGCUAGGCCGCAACUGACACUGAGGGACGAAAGCUAGGGGAGCGAAUGGG
Molecule: ribosomal RNA, 253 nt
Filed under: uncultured bacterium
Lineage: Bacteria
Description: partial 16S ribosomal RNA
Rfam family: Bacterial small subunit ribosomal RNA
Source: RNAcentral